UACGUAGGGGGCAAGCGUUGUCCGGAUUUAUUGGGCGUAAAGAGCGUGUAGGCGGCUGGGUAGGUCCGUUGUGAAAACUCGAGGCUCAACCUCGAGCUGUCGGCGGAAACCAUCUGGCUAGAGUCCGGAAGAGGAGAGCGGAAUUCCUGGUGUAGCGGUGAAAUGCGCAGAUAUCAGGAAGAACACCCGUGGCGAAGGCGGCUCUCUGGGACGGUACUGACGCUGAGACGCGAAAGCGUGGGGAGCGAACAGG
This 253-nucleotide ribosomal RNA is filed under the name uncultured bacterium. Its description in RNAcentral is "partial 16S ribosomal RNA". It matches the Rfam family "Bacterial small subunit ribosomal RNA", at positions 524 to 776 of the family's 1533-position model. The record is from RNAcentral.